This 90-nucleotide transfer RNA is filed under the name Candidatus Omnitrophota bacterium. RNAcentral's name for it is "tRNA-Ser". It matches the Rfam family "tRNA". From Rfam's summary of the family: Transfer RNA (tRNA) molecules are approximately 80 nucleotides in length. Their secondary structure includes four short double-helical elements and three loops (D, anti-codon, and T loops). The record is from RNAcentral. Lineage: Bacteria; Pseudomonadati; Candidatus Omnitrophota.
GGAGGAGUGCCGGAGUGGUUGAACGGGACCGCCUUGAAAGCGGUUAGGCGCCCGAAAGGUGCCUCGGAGGUUCGAAUCCUUCCUCCUCCG